CGGGCUCUAGAGGAAGAACGGAGGCGCCGGGAGCAGACCGUAUUGGAGUUCACACAAUUCAUGUCGACUCUGCCUCAGGAGGCUCAGGAGGCAUAUAAGAGACGGUUUCUGUCGUCACAGGCCGGGACUUCUUCACAAGGUGCAGCCGGGGGUAGUCAUAAUGUGGCUGGGGUUGAGGAUGAGGAUGAUGAUGAUGAUCAGGAGGAUUGAUUGUCCUUAAUAUAACUUUGAAAACAAUUUCUUGUGUUGUAUAAACAAUAUUUAUUAUGUACCCGUCGAGAAACUUUUACUUGCUUUUAUUGAAUUAAAUGUGUGAUAUAUGCGUGAGA
This is a long non-coding RNA of Asparagus officinalis (garden asparagus), 329 nucleotides long. RefSeq lists it as uncharacterized. The transcript has 2 exons. The record is from RefSeq and is a predicted model, not a curated record. Lineage: Eukaryota; Viridiplantae; Streptophyta; Magnoliopsida; Asparagales; Asparagaceae.